GACGAAGGGGGCUAGCGUUGUUCGGAAUUACUGGGCGUAAAGCGCGCGUAGGCGGCCAAUCAAGUCAGGGGUGAAAUGCCACGGCUCAACCGUGGAACUGCCUUUGAAACUGAUUGGCUGGAAGAUGAGAGGGGAUAGCGGAAUUUCUGGUGUAGAGGUGAAAUUCGUAGAUACCAGAAGGAACACCGGUGGCGAAGGCGGCUAUCUGGCUCAUUCUUGACGCUCUGGCGCGAAAGCGUGGGGAUCAAACAGG
RNAcentral lists this ribosomal RNA (253 nucleotides) under uncultured bacterium. RNAcentral's name for it is "partial 16S ribosomal RNA". It matches the Rfam family "Bacterial small subunit ribosomal RNA", at positions 524 to 776 of the family's 1533-position model. The record is from RNAcentral.